RNAcentral lists this ribosomal RNA (253 nucleotides) under uncultured bacterium. RNAcentral describes it as "partial 16S ribosomal RNA". It matches the Rfam family "Bacterial small subunit ribosomal RNA", at positions 524 to 776 of the family's 1533-position model. The record is from RNAcentral.
UACGUAGGAGGCAAGCGUUAUCCGGAGUUACUGGGCGUAAAGAGUGCGUAGGCGGAUUGAUAAGUGGGUGGUGAAAGCGCCCGGCUAAACCGGGCGAGGUCCAUUCAGACUGUCAGUCUAGAGGCGGAUAGAGGGGUGCGGAAUUCCGGGUGUAGCGGUGAAAUGUGUAGAGAUCCGGAAGAACACCAGUGGCGAAGGCGGCUCACUGGCCCGGUACUGACGCUGAUGUGCGAAAGCGUGGGGAGCAAACAGG